CCUACGGGUGGCUGCAGUGGGGAAUAUUGGACAAUGGGCGAAAGCCUGAUCCAGCCAUGCCGCGUGUGUGAAGAAGGCCUUCGGGUUGUAAAGCACUUUCAGUGGGGAAGAAAGCCUUGGGGCUAAUACCCUCGAGGAAGGACAUCACCCACAGAAGAAGCACCGGCUAACUCCGUGCCAGCAGCCGCGGUAAUACGGAGGGUGCGAGCGUUAAUCGGAAUUACUGGGCGUAAAGCGCGCGUAGGCGGUCUGAUAAGCCGGUUGUGAAAGCCCCGGGCUCAACCUGGGAACGGCAUCCGGAACUGUCAGGCUAGAGUGCAAGAGAGGAAAGUAGAAUUCCCGGUGUAGCGGUGAAAUGCGUAGAGAUCGGGAGGAAUACCAGUGGCGAAGGCGGCCUUCUGGACUGACACUGACGCUGAGGUGCGAAAGCGUGGGUAGCAAACAGGAUUAGAUACCCUGGUAGUC
This 465-nucleotide ribosomal RNA is filed under the name Vreelandella stevensii. RNAcentral's name for it is "partial 16S ribosomal RNA". It matches the Rfam family "Bacterial small subunit ribosomal RNA", at positions 338 to 795 of the family's 1533-position model. Lineage: Bacteria; Pseudomonadati; Pseudomonadota; Gammaproteobacteria; Oceanospirillales; Halomonadaceae. The record is from RNAcentral.